AGAGUUUGAUCCUGGCUCAGGAUGAACGCUAGCGGCAGGCUUAACACAUGCAAGUCGAGGGGCAUCGGGAGGGAAGCUUGCUUUCCUUGCCGGCGACCGGCGCACGGGUGAGUAACACGUAUGCAACCUGCCCUCUUCAGGGGGACAACCUUCCGAAAGGGAGGCUAAUCCCGCGUAUAUCGGUUUCGGGCAUCCGAGAUCGAGGAAAGAUUCAUCGGAAGAGGAUGGGCAUGCGGCGCAUUAGCUUGACGGCGGGGUAACGGCCCACCGUGGCGACGAUGCGUAGGGGUUCUGAGAGGAAGGUCCCCCACACUGGUACUGAGACACGGACCAGACUCCUACGGGAGGCAGCAGUGAGGAAUAUUGGUCAAUGGGAGAGAUCCUGAACCAGCCAAGCCGCGUGAGGGAAGACGGCCCUAUGGGUUGUAAACCUCUUUUGUCGGAGAACAAAACCCGGGACGUGUCCCGGACUGCGUGUAUCCGAAGAAAAAGCAUCGGCCAACUCCGUG
RNAcentral lists this ribosomal RNA (509 nucleotides) under uncultured Bacteroidales bacterium. Its description in RNAcentral is "bacterial SSU rRNA". It matches the Rfam family "Bacterial small subunit ribosomal RNA", at positions 8 to 507 of the family's 1533-position model. The record is from RNAcentral. Lineage: Bacteria; Pseudomonadati; Bacteroidota; Bacteroidia; Bacteroidales.